This 470-nucleotide ribosomal RNA is filed under the name uncultured bacterium. RNAcentral's name for it is "partial 16S ribosomal RNA". It matches the Rfam family "Bacterial small subunit ribosomal RNA", at positions 28 to 507 of the family's 1533-position model. The record is from RNAcentral.
GACGAACGCUGGCGGCGUGCUUAACACAUGCAAGUCGAACGCUGAAGCACCAGCUUGCUGGUGUGGAUGAGUGGCGAACGGGUGAGUAAUACGUGAGUAACCUGCCCUUGACUCUGGGAUAAGCCCGGGAAACUGGGUCUAAUACUGGAUGCUACAUGUCACCGCAUGGUGGCGUGUGGAAAGGGUUUACUGGUCUUGGAUGGGCUCACGGCCUAUCAGCUUGUUGGUGAGGUAAUGGCUCACCAAGGCGACGACGGGUAGCCGGCCUGAGAGGGUGACCGGCCACACUGGGACUGAGACACGGCCCAGACUCCUACGGGAGGCAGCAGUGGGGAAUAUUGCACAAUGGGCGAAAGCCUGAUGCAGCGGCGCCGCGUGAGGGAUGACGGCCUUCGGGUUGUAAACCUCUUUCAGCAGGGAAGAAGCCACAAGUGACGGUACCUGCAGAAGAAGCGCCGGCUAACUACGUG